AGCGAACGCUGGCGGCAGGCCUAAAACAUGCAAGUCGAACGCCGUAGCAAUACGGAGUGGCAGACGGGUGAGUAACACGUGGGAACGUACCCUUUGGUUCGGAACAACACAGGGAAACUUGUGCUAAUACCGGAUAAGCCCUUACGGGAAGAUUAUCGCCAAGGAUCGCCCGCGUCUGAUUAGCUAGUUGGUGGGGUAACGGCCCGACCAACGGCUACGAUCAGUAGCUGGUCUGAGAGGAUGAUCAGCCACACUGGGACUGAGACACGGCCCAGACU
Molecule: ribosomal RNA, 278 nt
Filed under: uncultured bacterium
Lineage: Bacteria
Description: partial 16S ribosomal RNA
Rfam family: Bacterial small subunit ribosomal RNA
Source: RNAcentral